Non-coding RNA from Dendrothele bispora CBS 962.96, 93 nucleotides. The record is from the annotation of a GenBank genome assembly. NCBI's taxonomy places the organism in Eukaryota, Fungi, Basidiomycota, Agaricomycetes, Agaricales.
UCCCUGGUAGUAUAUCGGUUAGUACACGCGCCUGUCAUUAGAUGGUUAGCUCUCUAUCCGCGCGAAAGCUGGGUUCGACUCCCAGCCAGGGAG